Molecule: ribosomal RNA, 253 nt
Filed under: uncultured bacterium
Lineage: Bacteria
Description: partial 16S ribosomal RNA
Rfam family: Bacterial small subunit ribosomal RNA
Source: RNAcentral
UACGAAGGGGGCGAGCGUUGUUCGGAAUUACUGGGCGUAAAGAGCUCGUAGGCGGUCUGUCGCGUCGGAUGUGAAAACCCAGGGCUCAACCCUGGGCCUGCAUUCGAUACGGGCAGACUAGAGUAUGGCAGGGGAGACUGGAAUUCCUGGUGUAGCGGUGAAAUGCGCAGAUAUCAGGAGGAACACCGGUGGCGAAGGCGGGUCUCUGGGCCAAGACUGACGCUGAGGAGCGAAAGCGUGGGGAGCGAACAGG